CCCGUGUCUCCUCGCCAGGCAGCGAGGGCUGGCGGGGGGGGACUGAAGAAACCCACCUAGAGCUUCCCUCGCCCACCGCUUGGCUUCUCAGGCACGGGUUUUGAGACCUCCUAGGACCUCCUGAUGCGCAGCCCUGGGUGAGAAGAUUCAGCUCUAGGAACCCAGGCACCUCAACUGAUAUUCUCAGCAAGGAGCCUUCAGGGAGAUGAACAGCAUAUGUCUGGACAUCUGAGAUUUGGUUGUUGACAGUGGCAUGAAGUUUCAUUUGAAUUGCUGAGGAUGACAGAGUGACUGACUUUGCAAGGCAGCUGAAUCUUGGUCCAGUUUGAGGCCGAAGUCUGGAUUCUUAUGAACUUCCCUGGCACCAGGUUUCCAUCUGCUGGUUUUCUGGACCUGGCACAGCAAUUCUCAAGCACUGACAAGAGCAGCAACUCAUGACAGUUCAUGAAGACUUACUUUCAGCUGUUGGAUACACAGUGCUAAUAAUGUCUGUGCAGUCUCAGAGCCACAGCAGUACAGAAUGGAAUUCAGACAGCACCUUGGCUCCCCAGUGCUCCCAAAAUUGCAGAGCACUGUAAGCACAUAAUUGCACAGCUUUUUGAUAGUAGAAGACCAGCUACUUUUAUUCAGUGCACAUUAACAUUAAUCAGUUGUCUAGGUCUGGAUCAAUCUAUAGAACUGAAAUUACAGGGACAUUAGGAAGGUAAAUUAUGUUUAUUACAUGAGUGCCUAAGGCUGAGAAAGUAUGAGGCUCACCUCCACCAGACACUGUACUCCCUGCUCCAAAAAAGCUCAAAGCUGGAGAAAAGCAGCUUAAUGUAUAUGUAGAAGUGAAGGUUGCAAUUUGAUCGCAAGCGUAUAGGCUAUAUAAUAUUUUGGUGAUGUAAGACUAGUUAUGAGAAUACAAAUACAGGCUGACAGACUUGGGGCUGUUCAGCCUGGAGAAGGCUCUGGGGA
Long non-coding RNA from Apus apus (common swift), 957 nucleotides. RefSeq lists it as uncharacterized. The transcript is spliced from 3 exons. The record is from RefSeq and is a predicted model, not a curated record. NCBI's taxonomy places the organism in Eukaryota, Metazoa, Chordata, Aves, Apodiformes, Apodidae.